Molecule: long non-coding RNA, 920 nt
Organism: Salvelinus namaycush (lake trout)
Lineage: Eukaryota; Metazoa; Chordata; Actinopteri; Salmoniformes; Salmonidae
Exons: 3
Source: RefSeq, a predicted model, not a curated record
UUCAGUGGUAAGCAAGGCAGCAUUCAACAUGUUUUCAUCCUGCAUUGAUCAUUGUCAACUGCAACACUUUCCAUUCAUCAGAAGAGUUACAUAAUUGUGUGUAGGGUUAAUGUGCUGGCCCCUCACUUCUCCUCCUGCACGCACUCAGACAUGGUGUGCUAGAAGCUGCUGAAGAAUGUCCCGGAGUUCUGGCUGGAGAGUGCUCACUGGGUUGGUGAAGGCUGUCAACAGGUCUGACAGAGAUCCAGGAUCAUGGGGAACCUGGUGUUGAAGAAAAAGGCCCGGUUUGUCGUCGCCCAUAAACUGCUGCUGCUCCAAUACAAGAAUGAGACUGGUGUUUUGAGGAUUCUUCUGGGGUAACUGGCUCGGGACAGGGAGAGACCACUACUUAUACAGGUGAGUGUACAACAACAUAUUUAGUGUUGUGAUGAUAUAUGUGUAUUUAUGACAAUGUUGUUGAUUGUGUGUGUGACUGUGUGUGUGUCCAUGUGCUGCGAGCGAUGUGCCACGCCUGGGCCAACCCCCUCUGGAGCAGCAGCAGAGUGUGGGACUACUGAGUGAUGCAGAGCUACAGGAGCUACGCUCAGGAACAUCCCCAACUGUGGAACCUUUUGAGGAUCUGAGGACCCAUGCCAAAUCUUUUCAGUCUCCUAGGGGGGAAUAGGUUUUGUCAUGACCUCUUCACGACUGUCCUGGUGUGCUUGGACCAUGUUCGUUUGUUUUGUGUCACACGAUCAGAGCUGUUCACACUAUUUUCUGAACUGUCCACCUCCGGGUUGUAUUCAUUUGAGAAAUGAAAAAAAAUCUUAUGAAAACAACUGAGCGUUUUGUUGUGGGAAUUGUCCAUGUAAGCUACCCGGGGCGGCAGGUAGAGCAUUGGGCCAGUAUCUGAAAGGUUGCUGGAUCGAAUCCCCGAGCUG